UUACAGAAAACACAAGAGUUGGUGAGAAAGAAGAAACAAAGAACGAAGGAGAAAUAGGCAGAAAGAUACCGGAAUGAGGCCGCGUGAAGAAGACCGGAAUGAGGCCGCGAGAAGGAGAAGAGACCGAGGAGGAGGGUGCGGCCGUGAGAGGAGGCUGUGAGAGUAGGAUGCGGCCGCGAGAUGAGGCUCCGGUUUCAACGGCGGUGGUGACAAU
RNAcentral lists this long non-coding RNA (214 nucleotides) under Cicer arietinum (chickpea). Its description in RNAcentral is "long non-coding RNA (CARI_LNC002323)". Lineage: Eukaryota; Viridiplantae; Streptophyta; Magnoliopsida; Fabales; Fabaceae. The record is from RNAcentral.